UACGUAGGGGGCGAGCGUUGUCCGGAUUUAUUGGGCGUAAAGAGCGUGUAGGCGGCCAGGUAGGUCUGCUGUGAAAACUCGAGGCUCAACCUCGAGACGUCGGCGGAAACCAUCUGGCUAGAGUCCGGAAGAGGAGAGUGGAAUUCCUGGUGUAGCGGUGAAAUGCGCAGAUAUCAAGUGGAACACCAGUGGCGAAGGCGAGUCCCUGGACAACUCCUGACACUGAGGCACGAAAGCUAGGGGAGCAAACAGG
RNAcentral lists this ribosomal RNA (253 nucleotides) under uncultured bacterium. RNAcentral's name for it is "partial 16S ribosomal RNA". It matches the Rfam family "Bacterial small subunit ribosomal RNA", at positions 524 to 776 of the family's 1533-position model. The record is from RNAcentral.